RNAcentral lists this ribosomal RNA (428 nucleotides) under uncultured bacterium. RNAcentral describes it as "bacterial SSU rRNA". It matches the Rfam family "Bacterial small subunit ribosomal RNA", at positions 33 to 507 of the family's 1533-position model. The record is from RNAcentral.
CACGCUGGCGGCAGGCCUAAAACAUGCAAGUCGAACGCUCUAGCAAUAGGGAGUGGCGCACGGGUGAGUAACAUGUGGGAAUAUGCCUUUUGGUACGGAACAACUUUUGGAAACGAAAGCUAAUACCGUAUGGUCCCUCCGGGGUAAAGAUUUAUCGCCAAAAGAGUAGCCCGCACUGGAUUAGCUAGUUGGUAAGGUAAUGGCUUACCAAGGCGACGAUCCAUAGCUGGUCUGAGAGGACGAUCAGCCACACUGGGACUGAGACACGGCCCAGACUCCUACGGGAGGCAGCAGUUAGGAAUAUUGGACGAUGGGCGCAAGCCUGAUCCAGCCAUGCCGCGUGAGUGAUGAAGGCCUUAGGGUUGUAAAGCUCUUUACCCGAGAUGAUAAUGACAGUAUCGGGAGAAUAAGCUCCGGCUAACUCCGUG